GAUGAACGCUGGCGGCGUGCUUAACACAUGCAAGUCGAACGGAAAGGCCCAAGCUUGCUUGGGUACUCGAGUGGCGAACGGGUGAGUAACACGUGGGUGAUCUGCCCUGCACUUCGGGAUAAGCCUGGGAAACUGGGUCUAAUACCGGAUAGGACGAUGGUUUGGAUGCCAUUGUGGAAAGUUUUUUCGGUGUGGGAUGAGCUCGCGGCCUAUCAGCUUGUUGGUGGGGUAAUGGCCUACCAAGGCGUCGACGGGUAGCCGGCCUGAGAGGGUGUACGGCCACAUUGGGACUGAGAUACGGCCCAGACUCCUACGGGAGGCAGCAGUGGGGAAUAUUGCACAAUGGGCGCAAGCCUGAUGCAGCGACGCCGCGUGGGGGAUGACGGCCUUCGGGUUGUAAACUCCUUUCGCUAGGGACGAAGCGUUUUUGUGACGGUACCUGGAGAAGAAGCACCGGCUAACUACGCG
Molecule: ribosomal RNA, 468 nt
Filed under: uncultured bacterium
Lineage: Bacteria
Description: partial 16S ribosomal RNA
Rfam family: Bacterial small subunit ribosomal RNA
Source: RNAcentral